UGGGGCGUAGCCAAGUGGUAAGGCAGGGGAUUUUGAUUCCCCCAUUCCCUGGUUCGAAUCCAGGCGCCCCAGCCA
RNAcentral lists this transfer RNA (75 nucleotides) under Xanthobacter viscosus. RNAcentral describes it as "tRNA-Gln". It matches the Rfam family "tRNA". Rfam says of the family: Transfer RNA (tRNA) molecules are approximately 80 nucleotides in length. The record is from RNAcentral. RNAcentral also lists the same sequence under 17 other names. Lineage: Bacteria; Pseudomonadati; Pseudomonadota; Alphaproteobacteria; Hyphomicrobiales; Xanthobacteraceae.